Long non-coding RNA from Neofelis nebulosa (Clouded leopard), 610 nucleotides. RefSeq lists it as uncharacterized. The transcript has 4 exons. NCBI's taxonomy places the organism in Eukaryota, Metazoa, Chordata, Mammalia, Carnivora, Felidae. The record is from RefSeq and is a predicted model, not a curated record.
AUUUAAUACUAUCUCUUACAGUUCUGGGUAUAGACAGGCUUAACUGGAUGGUUCUCACUUGGGGAUGUCUCACACAACUGCAGUCACAGUUAACAAGUGAUGGCAAGAGAUGUCUUGAGAACAUUUAUGUAGUCAAGACCACAAGAAGAACAUCCAAGAACUUGCUCAUUUUGUUCCUUUUAAGACCCAUCAUGGAUAAUAGUUUAUGAACUAAAAAAAAAAAAAAAAUUAUUGAUUAAUCAUGCCCAUGGUGAGAGAUUGCUUUUGCUACGCUCCGUGAUGAAGGGCACCAGCUUAUCCUACAGGACAUCAACACCGGCAAAGUCAGAGGCAGCAAGAAUUGACGUGGGGUUCUGUCUGUCCUUAUGGGUUCCAGCUCAUGCUCGCGGGUCCUGGCUUAUCCUUGCUUUUCCACUGCCUGCUCUGUGGACAAAAGCGAUCAUCUCCCACAAUCCUCUAAGCUAAAGCCUCCUAAAAUGUCUGCAGAGGAAGGUGAAAUUUACGUUGCAGAAUGAGCUCAUUUGCAGUCACCUGGCAAGAAAUUGACAGAGGUGGGAAACUGGAUAGAAGAAAAGAUACUGCUAUUCUCCUUAAGAAGUUCCAUGCUUCU